RNAcentral lists this ribosomal RNA (1357 nucleotides) under uncultured bacterium. RNAcentral describes it as "bacterial SSU rRNA". It matches the Rfam family "Bacterial small subunit ribosomal RNA", at positions 28 to 1381 of the family's 1533-position model. The record is from RNAcentral.
AUUGAACGCUGGCGGCAGGCUUAACACAUGCAAGUCGAGCGGUAACAGGAGAAGCUUGCUUCUUGCUGACGAGCGGCGGACGGGUGAGUAAUACUUAGGAAUCUGCCCAGUAGUGGGGGAUAGCUCGGGGAAACUCGAAUUAAUACCGCAUACACCCUACGGGGAAAAGGGGGCGCUUGCGCUCUCGCUAUUGGAUGAGCCUAAGUCGGAUUAGCUAGUUGGUGGGGUAAAGGCCUACCAAGGCGACGGUCUGUAGCUGGUCUGAGAGGAUGAUCAGCCACACCGGGACUGAGACACGGCCCGGACUCCUACGGGAGGCAGCAGUGGGGAAUAUUGGACAAUGGGGGCAACCCUGAUCCAGCCAUGCCGCGUGUGUGAAGAAGGCCUUUUGGUUGUAAAGCACUUUAAGCAGUGAAGAAGACUCUAUGGUUAAUACCCAUAGACGAUGACAUUAGCUGCAGAAUAAGCACCGGCUAACUCUGUGCCAGCAGCCGCGGUAAUACAGAGGGUGCAAGCGUUAAUCGGAAUUACUGGGCGUAAAGCGAGCGUAGGUGGCUUGAUAAGUCAGAUGUGAAAUCCCCGGGCUUAACCUGGGAACUGCAUCUGAUACUGUUAGGCUAGAGUAGGUGAGAGGGAGGUAGAAUUUCAGGUGUAGCGGUGAAAUGCGUAGAGAUCUGAAGGAAUACCGAUGGCGAAGGCAGCCUCCUGGCAUCAUACUGACACUGAGGUUCGAAAGCGUGGGUAGCAAACAGGAUUAGAUACCCUGGUAGUCCACGCCGUAAACGAUGUCUACUAGUCGUUGGGGAACUUGAUUCCUUAGUGACGCAGCUAACGCAAUAAGUAGACCGCCUGGGGAGUACGGCCGCAAGGUUAAAACUCAAAUGAAUUGACGGGGGCCCGCACAGGCGGUGGAGCAUGUGGUCUAAUUCGAUGCAACGCGAAGAACCUUACCUGGUCUUGACAUAUCUAGAAUCCUGCAGAGAUGCGGGAGUGCCUUCGGGAAUUAGAAUACAGGUGCUGCAUGGCUGUCGUCAGCUCGUGUCGUGAGAUGUUGGGUUAAGUCCCGCAGCGAGCGCAACCCUUUUCCUUAGUUACCAGCGGUUUGGCCGGGGACUCUAAGGAUACUGCCAGUGACAAACCGGAGGAAGGCGGGGACGACGUCAAGUCAUCAUGGCCCUUACGACCAGGGCUACACACGUGCUACAAUGGUAGGUACAGAGGGCAGCUACACAGCGAUGUGAUGCGAAUCUCAAAAAGCCUAUCGUAGUCCAGAUUGGAGUCUGCAACUCGACUCCAUGAAGUCGGAAUCGCUAGUAAUCGCGGAUCAGAAUGCCGCGGUGAAUACGUUCCCGGGCCU